This 72-nucleotide transfer RNA is filed under the name Fidelibacterota bacterium. RNAcentral describes it as "tRNA-Ser". The record is from RNAcentral. Lineage: Bacteria; Pseudomonadati; Fidelibacterota.
GUCGGGGAAAUGGUGUAUUAGCACCUGCUUUGGGAGCAGGGGGUCGGAGGUUCGAAUCCUCUCACUCCGACA